Molecule: small nuclear RNA, 197 nt
Organism: Phodopus roborovskii (desert hamster)
Lineage: Eukaryota; Metazoa; Chordata; Mammalia; Rodentia; Cricetidae
Product: U2 spliceosomal RNA
Exons: 1
Source: RefSeq, a predicted model, not a curated record
AUCACUUUUCUGUGAUAUGCCUAAGAGAGAAAAAAAAUGUUAUCUGUUCUUACCAGUUUAAUAUCUGAUAUGUCCUCUAUCCAAGGACAAUAUAUUAAACAGAUUCCUUGGAAAUAGGAGGUGGAAUAGGAAUUUGCUUUGUCUGCUCCGUGAAUCAACCUGAUAAUUACAGUACCUCCAGGAACAAAGCACUCUCC